Molecule: ribosomal RNA, 561 nt
Filed under: actinobacterium MS-B-74
Lineage: Bacteria; Bacillati; Actinomycetota; Actinomycetes
Description: bacterial SSU rRNA
Rfam family: Bacterial small subunit ribosomal RNA
Source: RNAcentral
CGGGAAACUGUAGCUAAUACCGGAUACUUUCCCUGGUGGGCAUCCACCGGGGAAGAAAGAAUUUCGGUCAGGGAGGAUCUCGCGGCCUAUCAGCUAGUUGGUGAGGUAACGGCUCACCAAGGCGACGACGGGUAACCGGCCUGAGAGGGUGACCGGUCACACUGGGACUGAGACACGGCCCAGACUCCUACGGGAGGCAGCAGUGGGGAAUAUUGCACAAUGGGCGCAAGCCUGACGCAGCAACGCCGCGUGAGGGAUGAAGGCCUUCGGGUUGUAAACCUCUUUUAGCAGGGAAGAAGCGAAAGUGACGGUACCUGCAGAAAAAGCACCGGCUAACUACGUGCCAGCAGCCGCGGUAAUACGUAGGGUGCAAGCGUUGUCCGGAAUUAUUGGGCGUAAAGAGCUCGUAGGCGGUUUGUCACGUCUGCCGUGAAAAUCCAAGGCUCAACCUUGGACUUGCAGUGGGUACGGGCAGGCUAGAGUGCGGUAGGGGAGAUGGGAAUUCCUGGUGUAGCGGUGGAAUGCGCAGAUAUCAGGAGGAACACCAAUGGCGAAGGCACA